CCAUAUUGGGUGAUAGCCCCGUACACGAAAAUCUCUUAUCAAUGAAAUCGAGUAGGACGGAGCACGAGAAACUUUGUCUGAAUAUGGGGGGACCAUCCUCCAAGGCUAAAUACUACUGACUGACCGAUAGUGAACUAGUACCGUGAGGGAAAGGCGAAAAGAACCCCGGGAGGGGAGUGAAAUAGAUCCUGAAACCGUAUGCGUACAAGCAGUGGGAGCAGACUUUGUUCUGUGACUGCGUACCUUUUGUAUAAUGGGUCAGCGACUUAUUUUCAGUGGCGAGCUUAACCGAAUAGGGGAGGCGUAGCGAAAGCGAGUCUUAAUAGGGCGUCUAGUCGCUGGGAAUAGACCCGAAACCGGGCGAUCUAUCCAUGGGCAGGUUGAAGGUUAGGUAACACUGACUGGAGGACCGAACCGACUACCGUUGAAAAGUUAGCGGAUGACCUGUGGAUCGGAGUGAAAGGCUAAUCAAGCUCGGAGAUAGCUGGUUCUCCUCGAAAGCUAUUUAGGUAGCGCCUCAUGUAUCACUGUAGGGGGUAGAGCACUGUUUCGGCUAGGGGGUCAUCCCGACUUACCAAACCGAUGCAAACUCCGAAUACCUACAAGUGCCGAGCAUGGGAGACACACGGCGGGUGCUAACGUCCGUCGUGGAGAGGGAAACAACCCUGACUUACAGCUAAGGCCCCUAAUUCGUGGCUAAGUGGGAAAGGAUGUGGAAAUCCCAAAACAACCAGGAGGUUGGCUUAGAAGCAGCCAUCCUUUAAAGAAAGCGUAACAGCUCACUGGUCUAAAUAAGGGUUUCUGCGCCGAAGAUGUAACGGGGCUCAAGCCACGAGCCGAAGCUUAGGGUGUGCGCAAGCACGCGGUAGCG
RNAcentral lists this ribosomal RNA (871 nucleotides) under Aplanochytrium stocchinoi. Its description in RNAcentral is "partial Bacterial large subunit ribosomal RNA". It matches the Rfam family "Bacterial large subunit ribosomal RNA", at positions 354 to 1233 of the family's 2925-position model. The record is from RNAcentral. Lineage: Eukaryota; Bigyra; Thraustochytrida; Thraustochytriidae.